UACGUAAGUGGCAAGCGUUGUCCGGAUUUACUGGGCGUAAAGAGCGCGCAGGCGGUCGUUCAAGUCGAGUGUGAAAGCCCCCGGCUCAACUGGGGAGGGUCACUCGAUACUGAUCGACUCGAAGGCAGAAGAGGGAAGCGGAAUUCCCGGUGUAGUGGUGAAAUGCGUAGAUAUCGGGAGGAACACCAGUGGCGAAGGCGGCUUUCUGGUCUGCUCUUGACGCUGAGGCGCGAAAGCUAGGGUAGCAAACGGG
RNAcentral lists this ribosomal RNA (253 nucleotides) under uncultured bacterium. RNAcentral's name for it is "partial 16S ribosomal RNA". It matches the Rfam family "Bacterial small subunit ribosomal RNA", at positions 524 to 776 of the family's 1533-position model. The record is from RNAcentral.